This 429-nucleotide ribosomal RNA is filed under the name uncultured beta proteobacterium. RNAcentral's name for it is "bacterial SSU rRNA". It matches the Rfam family "Bacterial small subunit ribosomal RNA", at positions 355 to 776 of the family's 1533-position model. The record is from RNAcentral. Lineage: Bacteria; Pseudomonadati; Pseudomonadota; Betaproteobacteria.
UGGGGAAUUUUGGACAAUGGGCGCAAGCCUGAUCCAGCCAUGCCGCGUGAGUGAAGAAGGCCUUCGGGUUGUAAAGCUCUUUCGGCCGGGACGAAAUCGCUCUCGCUAAUAUCGGGAGUGGAUGACGGUACCGGAAUAAGAAGCACCGGCUAACUACGUGCCAGCAGCCGCGGUAAUACGUAGGGUGCGAGCGUUAAUCGGAAUUACUGGGCGUAAAGCGUGCGCAGGCGGUUCCGCAAGUCAGAUGUGAAAUCCCCGGGCUUAACCUGGGAACUGCGUUUGAAACUACGGAGCUGGAGUACGGCAGAGGGAGGUGGAAUUCCAAGUGUAGCAGUGAAAUGCGUAGAUAUUUGGAGGAACACCAAUGGCGAAGGCAGCCUCCUGGGCUAGUACUGACGCUCAUGCACGAAAGCGUGGGGAGCAAACAGG